This 432-nucleotide ribosomal RNA is filed under the name uncultured bacterium. RNAcentral's name for it is "partial 16S ribosomal RNA". It matches the Rfam family "Bacterial small subunit ribosomal RNA", at positions 29 to 507 of the family's 1533-position model. The record is from RNAcentral.
AACGAACGCUGGCGGCAUGCCUAACACAUGCAAGUCGAACGAGACCUUCGGGUCUAGUGGCGCACGGGUGCGUAACGUGUGGGAACCUGCCCUUAGGUUCGGAAUAACUCCCCGAAAGGGGUGCUAAUACCGGAUAAUGUCUUCGGACCAAAGAUUUAUCGCCUUUGGAUGGGCCCGCGUUGGAUUAGCUAGUUGGUAGGGUAAAAGCCUACCAAGGCGACGAUCCAUAGCUGGUCUGAGAGGAUGAUCAGCCACACUGGGACUGAGACACGGCCCAGAUUCUUACGGGAGGCAGAAGUGGGGAAAAUGGGAAAAUGGGCGAAAGCCUGAUCCAGCAAUGCGGGGUGAGUAAGGAAGGCCUAAGGGUUGUAAAGCUCUUUACCCGGGAUGAUAAUGACAGUACCGGGAGAAUAAGCUCCGGCUAACUCCGUG